UGUAAAAUUUUUCCAGGAUUUCACAAGAUAUAACUGUAAUAUUUCACAGUUAAUUACAUUAUUACCACUUCACAGGCUUUAACUGUGAUAAUUCACAAUAUAAUACCGUAUUUAGACUUUUACUGUGAAAAUAAUGCAGGCGCGGUGCUUUUACAAGAAACUACUGUGAAUGCCGUCUUUUUUGAGUGGCAACUGCGGCAGCGUCAUCAGAGCGUCAUCAGAGCUCUCUGAUCUACGUGGUCUCAUUCGGUGGAUUCAGACAGCGCAUUUUCUACAUUGACCGACGAUAAAUAAAGUUAUAAGGUGCUUCUUGGGCAUCAACCCAGAGCGAGGCACAAAAUCUAAGAGGCAGAGAGGUCACAUGAACCAGCAAGUCUGCACUCUUAUCAGGAAGCUCAUUGACUUCGAAUGGAUGUCAAUCUAAUUGGAUAGAACCCACACUAUGCAGGUGCCAGCUGCGAGGGAAGGAGCGAGAUACCUGCGACCCUCUCUAUUCCCACCUUUUUGUCUUUUCUUACAUCUCUCUCCCUCACUCUCUCUUCUCUGUCUCCUUCUUUCUCUUUUGACACACAUUCCUGUUACCCAGUGUCAAUCCCUGUUGCCCAGUGUUUUAUUCAUGUAAUUAAAUUGUAUUUUACUUCUAAAAAAUAAAAGUUAUGUCACUGUUUU
This is a long non-coding RNA of Carassius auratus (goldfish), 669 nucleotides long. RefSeq lists it as uncharacterized. Lineage: Eukaryota; Metazoa; Chordata; Actinopteri; Cypriniformes; Cyprinidae. The transcript has 4 exons. The record is from RefSeq and is a predicted model, not a curated record.